UCUCGAGUAGUAUAGUGGUCAGUAUUUCGGCUUGUCAUUCAGACAGCUCGCCGGAGGCCGGGGUUCGAUUCCCCGCUCGAGAG
RNAcentral lists this transfer RNA (83 nucleotides) under Pyrenochaeta sp. MPI-SDFR-AT-0127. It matches the Rfam family "tRNA". From Rfam's summary of the family: Transfer RNA (tRNA) molecules are approximately 80 nucleotides in length. Their secondary structure includes four short double-helical elements and three loops (D, anti-codon, and T loops). Lineage: Eukaryota; Fungi; Ascomycota; Dothideomycetes; Pleosporales; Cucurbitariaceae. The record is from Rfam by way of RNAcentral.